RNAcentral lists this ribosomal RNA (305 nucleotides) under uncultured bacterium. Its description in RNAcentral is "bacterial SSU rRNA". It matches the Rfam family "Bacterial small subunit ribosomal RNA", at positions 337 to 640 of the family's 1533-position model. The record is from RNAcentral.
GCCUACGGGGGGCAGCAGUGAGGAAUAUUGGUCAAUGGGAGAGAUCCUGAACCAGCCAAGCCGCGUGAGGGAAGACGGCCCUAUGGGUUGUAAACCUCUUUUGUCGGAGAACAAAACCCGGGACGUGUCCCGGACUGCGUGUAUCCGAAGAAAAAGCAUCGGCUAACUCCGUGCCAGCAGCCGCGGUAAUACGGAGGAUGCGAGCGUUAUCCGGAUUUAUUGGGUUUAAAGGGUGCGUAGGCGGUCCGUUAAGUCAGCGGUAAAAUUGCGGGGCUCAACCCGGUCGAGCCGUUGAACCUGGCAGA